GACGAACGCUGGCGGCGUGCUUAACACAUGCAAGUCGAACGAAGUGGCGAACGGGUGAGUAACGCGUAAUCAACCUGCCCUUCAGAGGGGGACAACAGUUGGAAACGACUGCUAAUACCCCAUACUGAAGCAGGGGUUUGCGUCUGAUUAGGUAGUUGGCGGGGGAACGGCCCACCAAGGCGAUGAUCAGUAGCCGGGCUGAGAGGAUGAACGGCCACAAUGGGACUGGGACCCGGCCCAGACUCCUACGGGGGGCAGCAGUGGGGAAUCUUCCGCAAAGGACGAAAGUCUGACGGAGCAACGCCGCGUGAGUGAUGACGGCCUUCGGGUUGUAAAGCUCUGUUAAUCGGGACGCGGUACCGGAAUAGAAAGCAACGGCUAACUACGUGCCAGCAGCCGCGGUAAUAC
This 408-nucleotide ribosomal RNA is filed under the name uncultured bacterium. Its description in RNAcentral is "partial 16S ribosomal RNA". It matches the Rfam family "Bacterial small subunit ribosomal RNA", at positions 28 to 526 of the family's 1533-position model. The record is from RNAcentral.